RNAcentral lists this ribosomal RNA (253 nucleotides) under uncultured bacterium. RNAcentral describes it as "partial 16S ribosomal RNA". It matches the Rfam family "Bacterial small subunit ribosomal RNA", at positions 524 to 776 of the family's 1533-position model. The record is from RNAcentral.
UACGGAGGGUGCGAGCGUUAAUCGGAAUUACUGGGCGUAAAGCGCGCGUAGGUGGCUAAGUAAGCCGGUUGUGAAAGCCCCGGGAUCAACCUGGGAACGGCAUCCGGAACUGUUUAGCUAGAGUGCAGGAGAGGAAGGUAGAAUUCCCGGUGUAGCGGUGAAAUGCGUAGAGAUCGGGAGGAAUACCAGUGGCGAAGGCGGCCUUCUGGACUGACACUGACACUGAGGUGCGAAAGCGUGGGUAGCAAACAGG